RNAcentral lists this ribosomal RNA (468 nucleotides) under uncultured bacterium. Its description in RNAcentral is "partial 16S ribosomal RNA". It matches the Rfam family "Bacterial small subunit ribosomal RNA", at positions 28 to 507 of the family's 1533-position model. The record is from RNAcentral.
GACGAACGCUGGCGGCGUGCUUAACACAUGCAAGUCGAACGGAAAGGCCCUGCUUUUGUGGGGUGCUCGAGUGGCGAACGGGUGAGUAACACGUGAGUAACCUGCCCUGGACUGUGGGAUAACUUCAGGAAACUGGGGCUAAUACCGGAUAGGAGCUCCUGCUGCAUGGUGGGGGUUGGAAAGUUUCGGCGGUUGGGGAUGGACUCGCGGCUUAUCAGCUUGUUGGUGGGGGAGUGGCUUACCAAGGCUUUGACGGGUAGCCGGACUGAGAGGGUGACCGGCCACAUUGGGACUGAGGUGCGGCACCGACUGCUAAGGGAGGCAGCAGUGGGGAAUAUUGCACCAUGGGCGGAAGCCUGAUGCAGCAACGCCGCGUGCGGGAUGACGGCCUUCGGGUUGUAAACCGCUUUCGCCUGUGACGAAGCGUGAGUGACGGUAAUGGGUAAAGAAGCACCGGCUAACUACGUG